RNAcentral lists this long non-coding RNA (464 nucleotides) under Mytilus galloprovincialis (Mediterranean mussel). Lineage: Eukaryota; Metazoa; Mollusca; Bivalvia; Mytilida; Mytilidae. The record is from RNAcentral.
UUUAACUUACAAUCUUUUAUUCUUUAAGGCAACAAUAGACCUAUUUACAAAUAAAAAGGCAAUAUUGGUAUUGACACUGUAUUGAAAAGUAUUUAAGUUUAUAUUUUAGAAUAAAAUAUAAAGUUGUGCAAUUUUGAAUUGCCCACCCUGAGUACCAAUUGUUUUUGAAAUAUCCUUAAGUAAAAUUCUUUGUUGAUAUGGUUAGGCAGCCUAUAUUAGCUGUUUUUCAUUUACCUUGUUAACCAACAGCCUAGCUAGAUUUUUUCCAGAAAGGGCAUACAUAACUUAACUAGUUAGGAUAUAUGGGCUAGUUGUAUAGUUGCAUGUAAAAAAUUGGUUUAGUAUAAUAAUUAACAAAUCUAUAAUAAUGACAAAAACCUUACAAUCCUUUCAACAUGUUCAAAUAAACAAACAAAAUUCUUAAAUAAAUCAUUAAUCUUUCAGACAUAAAACUAAAAUUAUCA